This 1337-nucleotide ribosomal RNA is filed under the name Limosilactobacillus fermentum. RNAcentral describes it as "bacterial SSU rRNA". It matches the Rfam family "Bacterial small subunit ribosomal RNA", at positions 212 to 1533 of the family's 1533-position model. Lineage: Bacteria; Bacillati; Bacillota; Bacilli; Lactobacillales; Lactobacillaceae. The record is from RNAcentral.
CUAUCACUUCUGGAUGGACCUGCGGUGCAUUAGCUUGUUGGUGGGGUAAUGGCCUACCAAGGCGAUGAUGCAUAGCCGAGUUGAGAGACUGAUCGGCCACAAUGGGACUGAGACACGGCCCAUACUCCUACGGGAGGCAGCAGUAGGGAAUCUUCCACAAUGGGCGCAAGCCUGAUGGAGCAACACCGCGUGAGUGAAGAAGGGUUUCGGCUCGUAAAGCUCUGUUGUUAAAGAAGAACACGUAUGAGAGUAACUGUUCAUACGUUGACGGUAUUUAACCAGAAAGUCACGGCUAACUACGUGCCAGCAGCCGCGGUAAUACGUAGGUGGCAAGCGUUAUCCGGAUUUAUUGGGCGUAAAGAGAGUGCAGGCGGUUUUCUAAGUCUGAUGUGAAAGCCUUCGGCUUAACCGGAGAAGUGCAUCGGAAACUGGAUAACUUGAGUGCAGAAGAGGGUAGUGGAACUCCAUGUGUAGCGGUGGAAUGCGUAGAUAUAUGGAAGAACACCAGUGGCGAAGGCGGCUACCUGGUCUGCAACUGACGCUGAGACUCGAAAGCAUGGGUAGCGAACAGGAUUAGAUACCCUGGUAGUCCAUGCCGUAAACGAUGAGUGCUAGGUGUUGGAGGGUUUCCGCCCUUCAGUGCCGGAGCUAACGCAUUAAGCACUCCGCCUGGGGAGUACGACCGCAAGGUUGAAACUCAAAGGAAUUGACGGGGGCCCGCACAAGCGGUGGAGCAUGUGGUUUAAUUCGAAGCUACGCGAAGAACCUUACCAGGUCUUGACAUCUUGCGCCAACCCUAGAGAUAGGGCGUUUCCUUCGGGAACGCAAUGACAGGUGGUGCAUGGUCGUCGUCAGCUCGUGUCGUGAGAUGUUGGGUUAAGUCCCGCAACGAGCGCAACCCUUGUUACUAGUUGCCAGCAUUAAGUUGGGCACUCUAGUGAGACUGCCGGUGACAAACCGGAGGAAGGUGGGGACGACGUCAGAUCAUCAUGCCCCUUAUGACCUGGGCUACACACGUGCUACAAUGGACGGUACAACGAGUCGCGAACUCGCGAGGGCAAGCAAAUCUCUUAAAACCGUUCUCAGUUCGGACUGCAGGCUGCAACUCGCCUGCACGAAGUCGGAAUCGCUAGUAAUCGCGGAUCAGCAUGCCGCGGUGAAUACGUUCCCGGGCCUUGUACACACCGCCCGUCACACCAUGAGAGUUUGUAACACCCAAAGUCGGUGGGGUAACCUUUUAGGAGCCAGCCGCCUAAGGUGGGACAGAUGAUUAGGGUGAAGUCGUAACAAGGUAGCCGUAGGAGAACCUGCGGCUGGAUCACCUCCUUUCUAAGGAA